AUUGAACGCUGGCGGCAGGCCUAACACAUGAAAGUCGAACGAGUGGCGGACGGGUGAGUAAUGUCUGGGAAAAUGCCUGAUGGAGGGGGAUAACUACUGUAAACGGUAGCUAAUACGGACUACCAUCGGAUGUUCACCGAUGGGAUUCGCUAGUAGGUGGGGUAAAGGCUCACCUAGGCGACGAUCCCUAGCUGUUCGGAGAGGAUGACCAUCCACACUGGAACUUAGACACGGUCCAGACUCCUACGGGAGGCAGCAGUGGGGAAUAUUGCACAAUGGGCGCAAGCCUGAUGCAGCCAUGCCGCGUGUAUGAAGAAGGCCUUCGGGUUGUAAAGUACUUUCAGCGGGGAGGCGUUACCCGCAGAAGAAGCACCGGCUAACUCCGUGCCAGCAGCCGCGGUAAUAC
This 406-nucleotide ribosomal RNA is filed under the name uncultured bacterium. Its description in RNAcentral is "partial 16S ribosomal RNA". It matches the Rfam family "Bacterial small subunit ribosomal RNA", at positions 30 to 526 of the family's 1533-position model. The record is from RNAcentral.